AUUACGUGGACCCCUAACUCAAGAGGAGAAGAAUAGAAGGAGAUUGAAUCAUCUCUGCAUGUAUUGUGGUUCUAAAGAACAUAUUCUGAGAGACUGCCCUAUUCUUCUAAAACAGAAGUCAGUGGGAUCAAAGACGACUGAAUAUUGAGGCCAUCGUGGAUACUGGGGCAACUGGUUGUUAUAUAGACAUAAGUUUAAUUGAAAAAAAUAAAAUACCACAUAUAGCAAAAGAAAAA
Molecule: long non-coding RNA, 236 nt
Organism: Bombina bombina (fire-bellied toad)
Lineage: Eukaryota; Metazoa; Chordata; Amphibia; Anura; Bombinatoridae
Exons: 2
Source: RefSeq, a predicted model, not a curated record